GAGAGAGAGGGAGAGCGAGAGAGCGAGGGAGGGAGGGGGGAGAGAGCGAGCGAGAAAGAGUGAGAGAGGAGAGCACGGCGCGGCGCGGCACAGCACGGUACGGCACAGCGCGGAACCGCACCGCACCGCGCGGAUCGGCUGUGCUCCGCGUCGCGCUAAGCAACGCAGCACCGCGCCGGCGGGGCCCGGCCGCGCAGCUCCACCGGCAGACAAUGCCGCAGACCGGCGCCCGGGCACACGCACCGCCGCCCUGACAUGAUGGGUCCCUCGCUCCAACGCCAUCCUCGCUUCGCCUUUUUUACAGAAUUAAAACCAGCAGCCAGGCAAUGGUGCUGACAAAAGGACCCAUUACUAAUACAGCUGCACUGCCAUGAAUGAUGUAAGAAAAAAAUAAAUAUUAAUAGAAGGAAUCUAAGUAAAAAAUGGAAGCCUAAACAGAAACAGUGAAACAAUAAGUUCCAGCCAGCACAAGCCAGCAAUGUGCCCUCGUGGCCAAAAAGGCCAAUGGCAUCCUGGGAUGCAUCAAGAAGAGUGUGGCCAGUGGGUCAAGGGAGGUUCUGCUCCCCCUCUACUCUCCCCUAGUGAGGCCUCAUCUGGAGUCCUGUGUCCAGUUCUGAGCUCCUUAGCUCAAGAGGGACAGGGAACUCGAGAGAGAGUCCAGCACAGGGCCACCAAGAUGAUCAGGGGACUGGAGCGUCCUCCUUAUGAGGAAAGGCUGCAGGAACUGGGGCUGUUUAGUCUAGAGGAGACUGAGGGGAGAUCUCAUUAAUACUUACAAAUAUUUAAAAGGUGCUUGUCAAGAGGAUGCGGUGACUAUUUUUUCUGCGGUAUCCAGUGAUGGGACUAGAGGUAAUGGACAAAAGCUGGAACACAAAACGUUCCACUUAAGGAAAAACUUGUUUCCUGGGAGGAUGAGAAAACCCUGCCACAGGCUGCCCAGGGAGUCUGUGAAGUCUCCUUCUCAAGAGGUUUUCAAACCCCGCCUGGAUACGUUCCUGUGUGACCUGAUCUAGCAGGUGAUCUUUAGAAGUCUCUUCCAACUCCUGCCAUUCUGUGAUUCUGUGAAGUUAUACCAAAAGCCUUUGCAUUCAGGAAAGAAACACAAACAUGCUAAACUUUACUUGUAUAAGGAUAAGACAAAAUGGAGGAACAGAAGGGACAUUAUGAAUAAAGCAGCACCUAAGUCACAACAUUUGAGAAAGUUUUUACCUGGGUAUUUUGGGGAUCCUACUAGAAACCAACUGGAUAAGAUUUGGAUACAAAUAAAGGCUGAUGUAAUCACUGUA
Molecule: long non-coding RNA, 1286 nt
Organism: Colius striatus (speckled mousebird)
Lineage: Eukaryota; Metazoa; Chordata; Aves; Coliiformes; Coliidae
Exons: 2
Source: RefSeq, a predicted model, not a curated record